Molecule: non-coding RNA, 31 nt
Filed under: Mus musculus (house mouse)
Lineage: Eukaryota; Metazoa; Chordata; Mammalia; Rodentia; Muridae
Source: RNAcentral
UAUGAAAACGUUAUUUAUAUUGAUUUAUUCC